AGUGAACGCUGGCGGUAGGCCUAACACAUGCAAGUCGAACGGCAGCACAGUAAGAGCUUGCUCUUACGGGUGGCGAGUGGCGGACGGGUGAGGAAUACAUCGGAAUCUACUUUUUCGUGGGGGAUAACGUAGGGAAACUUACGCUAAUACCGCAUACGACCUACGGGUGAAAGCAGGGGAUCUUCGGACCUUGCGCGAUUGAAUGAGCCGAUGUCGGAUUAGCUAGUUGGCGGGGUAAAGGCCCACCAAGGCGACGAUCCGUAGCUGGUCUGAGAGGAUGAUCAGCCACACUGGAACUGGAACACGGUCCAGACUCCUACGAGAGGCAGCAGUGGGGAAUAUUGGACAAUGGGCGCAAGCCUGAUCCAGCCAUACCGCGUGGGUGAAGAAGGCCUUCGGGUUGUAAAGCCCUUUUGUUGGGAAAGAAAAGCAGCAGGUUAAUACCCCGCUGUUCUGACGGUACCCAAAGAAUAAGCACCGGCUAACUUCGUG
RNAcentral lists this ribosomal RNA (492 nucleotides) under uncultured bacterium. RNAcentral describes it as "partial 16S ribosomal RNA". It matches the Rfam family "Bacterial small subunit ribosomal RNA", at positions 29 to 507 of the family's 1533-position model. The record is from RNAcentral.